AAAUGUGUGUAUUUAAAAUUUCUCAAUUUGAAAACAACAAGGUGCAAAAUGAAAGCUAUAAGAUAACUUAAGAACAAAAAGAUUUACAACGGGGUUUGCAAGGCCCAAAAGUAAAAAAGAAAAGAAAAAACAUAAUAUCUAAAUUUUUUUGGGUGCGUUUAUUGUCACCUUACAAAUUAUUUUGCUCACCUCACAUGUUGUUGAUUUAUUGAAAGACAAAAAUACCCUGAUGUAAAAUUACAGUAGGGCACAAUAAGUUAUCACAAAUUACAAAUUGCAAGUUCGUUUUUCUUUUUUAUCUUUUUCUUUUGGCUGAACACGUACUUCAUAAACCAUAACCCAUAAUUUAUCAUAUUCGGUCAUUCUAUGGAGUCUGAAGACGCUAGCAUGUAACCUGAAGAUGAGGUGAUAAACUAUUUGUACUUUUUAUUUCUCUUGUUUUUUUUGUUGGUGCUUCGUUUAUCAUUUUACUCGAUUUUUUUUUUCUUCAGUUGGUGAUUUUACUUACCUCGAACUUAUACUUUUAGAACAAAUAAUAUUAAUGUUAUGGUUUACUUUUGUCACACCCCAAUUUUCGAAAGGAAAUUUUCAAAAAUUUUGACAUGAUAUAUCUUAAAAUAUUAUAAUCCCAUAACAUGUUUCAACAACAAACUUCAAAGGAACCUAAAAAUUUUGAUGCGGUAUCUCCCAUGACCUACACUGACAGAUGGACUAGAGCUCUAUUCCUAACCGCAACCAAUCACACGGCCAAAGGCUCGGAACCCGGUUUGACUGUAUAAUAUUAAACACAAAAAUGAUAAAUAGCAUCUUAACCGCAACCAAUCACCCAAUUAAGGGCUUGGAACCCGGUUUCGCUAUUAUUCAACAAUCAUAAUAUCACAACAUUAUCCUCAACAACACAAUAUCACAUCAUAAAUUAUAUCCUACCACAUGGAUAUAUUUACAUGAACAAUUACAGAUAUUCCACAAGAAUAAUCUAUCAAAAAUCAAUAAAAUUAUGAUCACAUGAAUCUCAAAAUAGCAUUUAAAGAAAACUUGUUUUAUCUUACCUAUGAACAGUUGACGAUCAAGCUCAUAUAUUUUUAAAAACAAUCAAAAACAUAUUAUUAAAUCAAACAUUAUCAUCAUUAUCAUCAUCACAUGACCAUAAUAACAUUCGGUUCAAAAGUGAACCUUAAUGAGAUUUACUCACCUAAUUAUCCUGCUGCAAAAUCCCCAACCUAACGAAGGCAAACCAAUCACAAAGUCACAAAUCACCUAAAAUCACACAAUUAAAAACUUUAGAAACCAAAGUAGUAAAGGAUAACACAAUACCCUUAAACUAACCCUUAGCUCAAGGGAGGACAACUUCCCAAAGUCGUUAAACUCAACGACACAAUAGAGCUGCCUCAACUCUUCAAAACCUAAACUCUAACCCAACCAAACCAACACCAAUAAACUUAAGUCCUAGCAUGCCAACAUUGCUUAAAAUCUAGCCACACUACCACUUAACAAACUCACAGCAGUAAGGACUAGCUAACCACAGAAAACUAAGGCCGCAACUCAGCCGGACGCGCCGCCACGCACCGCCACAGGCGGCUGCAAGUGGGCCCCACGCGCCACCCCAAACUUCCGAUUUAGGAGAAACUCACAACAACAAAGUUGAAGCUUGAAGCAAGGGGAACAACUUUCAUACCUAAGACUUCAACCAAUUUUGGCCGGAACCGGCCGGAAACUGCCUCGAAACCCUAAACCGAAAUCACACCUCAAACCUGCAAAACUGGUCUCAAAACCUCAAAAACUUGCCUCAAUCUAUGCCUAGACAAUAUCAGGAGGAGGAGGGGAUCAAGACUCACCCAAACUUGGCCAGAAUCAUCAUCGAAAUUGCCGGUUUUCCGGCGGGACAGCCGGCGGGACUGCUCCAGAAAUGGAGAGGGCAGCUGUGAGAGUCGAACGGGACCGGCGGUGUCCUGUUUGGUGGCCAGAAGAGAGAGAACUCGGUUGGAGAAGAGGGAGAGUUCGGGGAGCUCGGGUGGGAGGAGAGAGAAGAGGAAAAACUGAAAUUAGGGUUUCUAAUUAACACUCCCACACAUUUUUCUACUUAUACUCUUUCCAAACCCGGAAACAAACUUCCUUUGACCAUAACUUUCUCAUACGACAUCCGUUUUAGGCGUGCCGUAUGUCUACAAACUCGUAACGACAAACUCUACAACUUUCAAGAAGGAAGUUUUUGAAGAUAACUUACGAAAAAUAAAGUCAACUUUUGACCUCUUAAAAGUCAAAACAUCUUAAAUUAAACUCCCGAAACUUCAACUUUGCAUAAACCAAAGAAUUUUCAUAAAUAAUCCUUCAUUAAAUAUGGGAAUAAUACAAGAAAAAUUGAUAUGAAAAUCUAAGGUAUUACAACUUUAAUUUCUUUUUCUUUUUGGAGUUCAAUGUCUAUUGAAAUAGUCAGAUAUUGUGUGUAUUGCAAAUGAGUGAGAAGAGAAUGUAGGGUGAAUAAAGUAGAAUUGAGAAAAUUGUAUUUUAGGUAUUGUAAGUGGGCAAAGUAGACUUACAAUUAAAAAUAU
RNAcentral lists this long non-coding RNA (2549 nucleotides) under Fragaria vesca (wild strawberry). RNAcentral's name for it is "long non-coding RNA (FVES_LNC004668)". The record is from RNAcentral. Lineage: Eukaryota; Viridiplantae; Streptophyta; Magnoliopsida; Rosales; Rosaceae.